Molecule: ribosomal RNA, 352 nt
Filed under: uncultured bacterium
Lineage: Bacteria
Description: bacterial SSU rRNA
Rfam family: Bacterial small subunit ribosomal RNA
Source: RNAcentral
GGACCCGCACAAGUAGUGGAGCAUGUGGUUUAAUUCGAAGAUACGCGCAGAACCUUACCAACACUUGACAUGUUCGUCGCGACUUUAAGAGAUUAAAGUUUUCGGUUCGGCCGGACGAAACACAGGUGCUGCAUGGCUGUCGUCAGCUCGUGUCGUGAGAUGUUGGGUUAAGUCCCGCAACGAGCGCAACCCUCACUUUUAGUUGCCAUCAUUUAGUUGGGCACUCUGAAAGAACUGCCAGUGAUAAGCUGGAGGAAGGUGGGGAUGACGUCAAGUCCUCAUGGCCCUUACGUGUUGGGCUACACACGUGCUACAAUGGUAUCUCAACAGGAAGCAAGACUGCGAAGUUAAG